Molecule: ribosomal RNA, 253 nt
Filed under: uncultured bacterium
Lineage: Bacteria
Description: partial 16S ribosomal RNA
Rfam family: Bacterial small subunit ribosomal RNA
Source: RNAcentral
UACAGAGGUCUCAAGCGUUGUUCGGAUUCAUUGGGCGUAAAGGGUGCGUAGGUGGCGCUGUAAGUCGGGUGUGAAAUUUCGGAGCUUAACUCCGAAACUGCAUUUGAUACUGCGGUGCUUGAGGACUGGAGAGGAGACUGGAAUUCAUGGUGUAGCAGUGAAAUGCGUAGAGAUCAUGAGGAAGACCAGUGGCGAAGGCGGGUCUCUGGACAGUUCCUGACACUGAGACACGAAGGCCAGGGGAGCAAACGGG